AACGAACGCUGGCGGCGCGCUUAAUACAUGCAAGUCGAACGAGAAGGUGUAGCAAUACACUUGUAAAGUGGCGAACGGGUGAGGAAUACAUGGGUAACCUACCCUCGAGUGGGGAACAACCAGCCGAAAGGUUGGCUAAUACCGCGUACGCUUCCGGGUCUUCGGAUUCGGAAGGAAAGUCAUACCGUGGGUAUGACGCUCAAGGAUGGGCUCAUGUCCUAUCAGCUUGUUGGUAGGGGUAACGGCCACCAAGGCUCCGACGGGUAGCUGGUCUGAGAGGACGAUCAGCCACACUGGCACUGCGACACGGGCCAGACUCCUACGGGAGGCAGCAGUAAGGAAUAUUGCGCAAUGGGCGAAAGCCUGACGCAGCGACGCCGCGUGGGGAGUGAAGGUCUUCGGA
Molecule: ribosomal RNA, 403 nt
Filed under: uncultured bacterium
Lineage: Bacteria
Description: bacterial SSU rRNA
Rfam family: Bacterial small subunit ribosomal RNA
Source: RNAcentral